CUUACAGAUGGGCCCGCGUCGCAUUAGCUAGUUGGUAAGGUAACGGCUUACCAAGGCGACGAUGCGUAGCCGACCUGAGAGGGUGAUCGGCCACACUGGGACUGAGACACGGCCCAGACUCCUACGGGAGGCAGCAGUAGGGAAUCUUCCGCAAUGGACGAAAGUCUGACGGAGCAACGCCGCGUGAGUGAUGAAGGUUUUCGGAUCGUAAAGCUCUGUUGUUAGGGAAGAACAAGUGCCGUUUGAAUAAGGCGGCACCUUGACGGUACCUAACCAGAAAGCCACGGCUAACUACGUGCCAGCAGCCGCGGUAAUACGUAGGUGGCAAGCGUUGUCCGGAAUUAUUGGGCGUAAAGCGCGCGCAGGCGGUCUCUUAAGUCUGAUGUGAAAGCCCACGGCUCAACCGUGGAGGGUCAUUGGAAACUGGGAGACUUGAGUACAGAAGAGGAGAGUGGAAUUCCACGUGUAGCGGUGAAAUGCGUAGAUAUGUGGAGGAACACCAGUGGGGAAGGCGACUCUCUGGUCUGUAACUGACGCUGAGGCGCGAAAGCGUGGGGAGCAAACAGGAUUAGAUACCCUGGUAGUCCACGCCGUAAACGAUGAGUGCUAGGUGUUAGGGGUUUCGAUGCCCUUAGUGCCGAAGUUAACACAUUAAGCACUCCGCCUGGGGAGUACGACCGCAAGGUUGAAACUCAAAGGAAUUGACGGGGGCCCGCACAAGCAGUGGAGCAUGUGGUUUAAUUCGAAGCAACGCGAAGAACCUUACCAGGUCUUGACAUCCUUUGACCACUCUAGAGAUAGAGCUUUCCCCUUCGGGGGACAAAGUGACAGGUGGUGCAUGGUUGUCGUCAGCUCGUGUCGUGAGAUGUUGGGUUAAGUCCCGCAACGAGCGCAACCCUUGAUCUUAGUUGCCAGCAUUCAGUUGGGCACUCUAAGGUGACUGCCGGUGACAAACCGGAGGAAGGUGGGGAUGACGUCAAAUCAUCACGGCCCUU
RNAcentral lists this ribosomal RNA (995 nucleotides) under Flavobacterium sp. IR1. RNAcentral describes it as "bacterial SSU rRNA". It matches the Rfam family "Bacterial small subunit ribosomal RNA", at positions 218 to 1203 of the family's 1533-position model. Lineage: Bacteria; Pseudomonadati; Bacteroidota; Flavobacteriia; Flavobacteriales; Flavobacteriaceae. The record is from RNAcentral.